UUCCGGAGCUAACGCGUUAAGUCGACCGCCUGGGGAGUACGGCCGCAAGGUUAAAACUCAAAUGAAUUGACGGGGGCCCGCACAAGCGGUGGAGCAUGUGGUUUAAUUCGAUGCAACGCGAAGAACCUUACCUACUCUUGACAUCCAGAGAACUUAGCAGAGAUGCUUUGGUGCCUUCGGGAACUCUGAGACAGGUGCUGCAUGGCUGUCGUCAGCUCGUGUUGUGAAAUGUUGGGUUAAGUCCCGCAACGAGCGCAACCCUUAUCCUUUGUUGCCAGCGGUUCGGCCGGGAACUCAAAGGAGACUGCCAGUGAUAAACUGGAGGAAGGUGGGGAUGACGUCAAGUCAUCAUGGCCCUUACGAGUAGGGCUACACACGUGCUACAAUGGCGCAUACAAAGAGAAGCGACCUCGCGAGAGCAAGCGGACCUCAUAAAGUGCGUCGUAGUCCGGAUCGGAGUCUGCAACUCGACUCCGUGAAGUCGGAAUCGCUAGUAAUCGUAGAUCAGAAUGCUACGGUGAAUACGUUCCCGGGCCUUGUACACACCGCCCGUCACACCAUGGGAGUGG
RNAcentral lists this ribosomal RNA (569 nucleotides) under Enterobacter sp. YN2(2011). Its description in RNAcentral is "bacterial SSU rRNA". It matches the Rfam family "Bacterial small subunit ribosomal RNA", at positions 844 to 1413 of the family's 1533-position model. Lineage: Bacteria; Pseudomonadati; Pseudomonadota; Gammaproteobacteria; Enterobacterales; Enterobacteriaceae. The record is from RNAcentral.